ACGCUGGCGGCAGGCUUAACACAUGCAAGUCGAACGGUAACAGGAAUUAGCUUGCUAAUUUGCUGACGAGUGGCGGACGGGUGAGUAAUGCUUGGGAACCUGGCUUAUGGAGGGGGAUAACUACGGGAAACUGUAGCUAAUACCGCGUAAAAUCUUCGGAUUAAAGGGUGGGACUUUCGAGCCACCUGCCAUAAGAUGAGCCCAAGUGGGAUUAGGUAGUUGGUUAGGUAAAGGCUGACCAAGCCGACGAUCUCUAGCUGGUCUGAGAGGAUGACCAGCCACACUGGAACUGAGACACGGUCCAGACUCCUACGGGAGGCAGCAGUGGGGAAUAUUGCACAAUGGGGGGAACCCUGAUGCAGCCAUGCCGCGUGAAUGAAGAAGGCCUUCGGGUUGUAAAGUUCUUUCGGUGACGAGGAAGGUUGAUAGGUUAAUAGCCUAUCAAAUUGACGUUAAUCACAGAAGAAGCACCGGCUAACUCCGUGCCAGCAGCCGCGGUAAUACGGGGGGUGCGAGCGUUAAUCGGAAUAACUGGGCGUAAAGGGCACGCAGGCGGUGACUUAAGUGAGAUGUGAAAGCCCCGAGCUUAACUUGGGAAUUGCAUUUCAUACUGGGUCGCUAGAGUACUUUAGGGAGGGGUAGAAUUCCACGUGUAGCGGUGAAAUGCGUAGAGAUGUGGAGGAAUACCGAAGGCGAAGGCAGCCCCUUGGGAAUGUACUGACGCUCAUGUGCGAAAGCGUGGGGAGCAAACAGGAUUAGAUACCCUGGUAGUCCACGCUGUAAACGAUGUCGAUUUGGGGAUUGGGCUUUGAGCUUGGUGCCCGUAGCUAACGUGAUAAAUCGACCGCCUGGGGAGUACGGCCGCAAGGUUAAAGCUCAAAUGAAUUGACGGGGGCCCGCACAAGCGGUGGAGCAUGU
RNAcentral lists this ribosomal RNA (918 nucleotides) under uncultured bacterium. RNAcentral's name for it is "bacterial SSU rRNA". It matches the Rfam family "Bacterial small subunit ribosomal RNA", at positions 33 to 942 of the family's 1533-position model. The record is from RNAcentral.